Molecule: non-coding RNA, 75 nt
Organism: Myotis lucifugus (little brown bat)
Lineage: Eukaryota; Metazoa; Chordata; Mammalia; Chiroptera; Vespertilionidae
Source: Rfam
GGUGCUUCUCAGGUGAUGUACCCUGGAAUCGGGUUCCCUUCUCUCUGGUUCCCGGUGCAUCACUCGAGAACUGCA